RNAcentral lists this transfer RNA (75 nucleotides) under Patescibacteria group bacterium. RNAcentral describes it as "tRNA-Asn". It matches the Rfam family "tRNA". From Rfam's summary of the family: Transfer RNA (tRNA) molecules are approximately 80 nucleotides in length. Their secondary structure includes four short double-helical elements and three loops (D, anti-codon, and T loops). Further hydrogen bonds mediate the characteristic L-shaped molecular structure. tRNAs have two regions of fundamental functional importance: the anti-codon, which is responsible for specific mRNA codon recognition, and the 3' end, to which the tRNAs corresponding amino acid is attached (by aminoacyl-tRNA synthetases). tRNAs cope with the degeneracy of the genetic code in two manners: having more than one tRNA (with a specific anti-codon) for a particular amino acid; and 'wobble' base-pairing, i.e. permitting non-standard base-pairing at the 3rd anti-codon position. The record is from RNAcentral.
UCCGGGGUAGCUCAGCGGCAGAGCAGUGGACUGUUAAUCCAUUGGUCGUGGGUUCGAAUCCCACCCCCGGAGCCA